RNAcentral lists this ribosomal RNA (789 nucleotides) under uncultured bacterium. Its description in RNAcentral is "bacterial SSU rRNA". It matches the Rfam family "Bacterial small subunit ribosomal RNA", at positions 57 to 848 of the family's 1533-position model. The record is from RNAcentral.
GCGAGUNNNNNAGACGUUUUUCUUCGGAGAAACUGAAAGUGGCGCACGGGUGCGUAACGCGUAUGCAACCUACCCUUAACAGGGGGAUAGCCCAGAGAAAUUUGGAUUAAUACCCCAUAGUACUACAAGAUGGCAUCUGAAAGUAGUUAAAGAUUUAUCGGUUAAGGAUGGGCAUGCGUGACAUUAGAUAGUUGGUGAGGUAACGGCUCACCAAGUCCACGAUGUCUAGGGGUUCUGAGAGGAUGAUCCCCCACACUGGUACUGAGAUACGGACCAGACUCCUACGGGAGGCAGCAGUAGGGAAUAUUGGUCAAUGGGCGAGAGCCUGAACCAGCCAUGCCGCGUGCAGGAAGACAGCUUUCUGAGUUGUAAACUGCUUUUAUAUGGGAAGAAAAAGCCCUUGCGAGGGAAAUUGCCGGUACCAUAUGAAUAAGCACCGGCUAACUCCGUGCCAGCAGCCGCGGUAAUACGGAGGGUGCAAGCGUUGUCCGGAUUUAUUGGGUUUAAAGGGUGCGUAGGCGGAUCUUUAAGUCAGUGGUGAAAUCCUGCAGCUUAACUGUAGAACUGCCAUUGAUACUGGAGGUCUUGAGUAUACUAGAGGUAGGCGGAAUUUAUGGUGUAGCGGUGAAAUGCAUAGAUACCAUAAAGAACACCGAUNGCGUANGCAGCUUACUGGAGUAUAACUGACGCUGANNCACGAAAGCAUGGGUAGCGAACAGNAUUAGAUACCCUGGUAGUCCAUGCCGUAAACGAUGANUNCUCGAUGUUGGCGAUAUACUGNCAGCGUCC